ACCCUAGAUAGGAAGGUCUGGAAGACGCGAAUUACGGCAGAAGAGUAGGGCCAGAUUGGGUCGCUAGUGUAGGGAUUUACUUGGUGGGUUUUUUUUUUGUUUUUUUUUUUUUUUUUUUUUUUUUUUUUUUUUAUUUCCGUUUUUUUUCCGAAUCUGUGUGCUUUCCUCUGCUUUCCUCUGUUUUAUAUUCCUUAUGGGUGCCGUAUUUAUGUUAUGUCAUCUGCUUCUGUGCUUUACUAUGUGUUGGUGUGAUAUCUUGUGCCCUGAGCCGGGGGUCUUUCGGAAACAGCCUUUCUACUUCAUCAGAGGUAGAGGUAUGGACUGCGUACAUCUUACCCCCCCC
RNAcentral lists this long non-coding RNA (343 nucleotides) under Capsicum annuum. Its description in RNAcentral is "long non-coding RNA (CANN_LNC010984)". Lineage: Eukaryota; Viridiplantae; Streptophyta; Magnoliopsida; Solanales; Solanaceae. The record is from RNAcentral.